UACGGAGGGGGCUAGCGUUGUUCGGAAUUAUUGGGCGUAAAGCGCACGUAGGCGGCUUGGCAAGUCGGAUGUGAAAUCCCUCGGCUCAACCAAGGAAGUGCAUCCGAAACUGCCGAGCUUGAGUACUUAAGAGGAUCGCGGAAUUCCCGGUGUAGAGGUGAAAUUCGUAGAUAUUGGGAAGAACACCCGUGGCGAAGGCGGCUCACUGGCUCGUAUCUGACGCUCAGGCGCGACAGCGUGGGGAUCAAACAGG
RNAcentral lists this ribosomal RNA (253 nucleotides) under uncultured bacterium. RNAcentral describes it as "partial 16S ribosomal RNA". It matches the Rfam family "Bacterial small subunit ribosomal RNA", at positions 524 to 776 of the family's 1533-position model. The record is from RNAcentral.